This is a long non-coding RNA of Haliotis rubra (blacklip abalone), 124 nucleotides long. RefSeq lists it as uncharacterized. The record is from RefSeq and is a predicted model, not a curated record. The transcript has 3 exons. NCBI's taxonomy places the organism in Eukaryota, Metazoa, Mollusca, Gastropoda, Lepetellida, Haliotidae.
UCUCCCAGACAUGAUGGUUCUACAUUUUACUCAGUAAAAUGAAGAUAGGUGUUUCGUUAUCUUGCAAAUCGUUCUCAUCAUUGAUGAAAUGUCACACAAAUAGAUCAGAUCUGUUUUUAAUCAG